AGAGUUUGAUCCUGGCUCAGAAUGAACGUUGGCGGCGUGGAUUAGGCAUGCAAGUCGAGCGAGAACUGGCCGCAAGGCUGGGGACAGCGGCGUAAGGGACAGUAAUGUACAGGUACCUACCCUCGGGACCGGGAUAGCUGCGGGAAACUGCAGGUAAUACCGGAUAAUAUCUCCGGAUCAAAGGUGUGAGUCCGCCGGGGGAGGGGCCUGUAUCCUAUUAGCUUGUUGGUGAGGUGACGGCUCACCAAGGCCAUGAUGGGUAGCGGGUGUGAGAGCACGACCCGCGUCACUGGGACUGAGACACUGCCCAGACACCUACGGGUGGCUGCAGUCGAGGAUCUUCGGCAAUGGGCGCAAGCCUGACCGAGCGACGCCGCGUGCGGGAUGAAGGCCUUCGGGUUGUAAA
Molecule: ribosomal RNA, 406 nt
Filed under: uncultured bacterium
Lineage: Bacteria
Description: bacterial SSU rRNA
Rfam family: Bacterial small subunit ribosomal RNA
Source: RNAcentral